ACACAUGCAGUCGAGGGGCAGCACGGGUAGCAAUACUUGGUGGCGACCGGCGCACGGGUGAGUAACGCGUUUGCAACCUACCUCUAACUGGGGCAUAGCCCGAAGAAAUUCGGAUUAAUACCCCAUAACACUAUGAUUGGGCAUCUAUUUAUAGUUAAAGUUUCGACGGUUAGAGAUGGGCAUGCGUAACAUUAGCUAGUUGGUGAGGUAACGGCUCACCAAGGCUACGAUGUUUAGGGGGUCUGAGAGGAUGAUCCCCCACACUGGUACUGAGACACGGACCAGACUCCUACGGGAGGCAGCAGUGAGGAAUAUUGGGCAAUGGGCGAAAGCCUGACCCAGCCAUGCCGCGUGAAGGAUGACAGCGCUAUGCGUUGUAAACUUCUUUUGUAUGGGAAGAAACACUCCUACGUGUAGGGGCUUGACGGUACCAUACGAAUAAGCAUCGGCUAACUCCGUGCCAGCAGCCGCGGUAAUACGGAGGAUGCAAGCGUUAUCCGGAUUUAUUGGGUUUAAAGGGUGCGUAGGCGGAAAAUUAAGUCAGUGGUGAAAUCCUGCGGCUCAACCGUAGAACUGCCAUUGAUACUGGUUUUCUUGAAUAUAGUUGAGGUAGGCGGAAUGUGUAAUGUAGCGGUGAAAUGCUUAGAUAUUACACAGAGCACCGAUUGCGAAAGCAGCUUACUAAACUGUGAUUGACGCUGAGGCACGAAAGCGUGGGGAUCGAACAGGAUUAGAUACCCUGGUAGUCCACGCUGUAAACCAUGAUCACUCGUUGUUGGCGAUACAUUGUCAGCGACUGAGCGAAAGCAUUAAGUGAUCCACCUGGGGGAGUACGAUCGCAGAUUGAAACUCAAUGAUUGACGGGG
This 866-nucleotide ribosomal RNA is filed under the name uncultured bacterium. RNAcentral's name for it is "bacterial SSU rRNA". It matches the Rfam family "Bacterial small subunit ribosomal RNA", at positions 51 to 918 of the family's 1533-position model. The record is from RNAcentral.